Molecule: unclassified non-coding RNA, 128 nt
Filed under: Vibrio hangzhouensis
Lineage: Bacteria; Pseudomonadati; Pseudomonadota; Gammaproteobacteria; Vibrionales; Vibrionaceae
Description: Vibrio regulatory RNA of OmpA
Rfam family: Vibrio regulatory RNA of OmpA (bases 46-128)
Source: RNAcentral
GUAGUGAGCAAUAACUGUUUGAAUUUUGAAGACGCUGAAUUUCUUAUUGUUGACUACAAAUGCUGCUUUUUCAUAUUAACUCCUAUUUUUUGUAUCCGCCCAGACCCUAUUGGUCUGGGCUUUUUUUA